UUAACAGCCCUGGAGAAAAAAGUCCUUUAUGUAUCCACAGAACAGGUCCAGCUCCACACCACAAAUAUGCCUCAACCCUGCACUGCAGAAACCGCCUCUAGGGUUGAGGCAUUAGACCAGUUUCCACAGGCAUUCAGCAUAUGGCCUGU
This 149-nucleotide small RNA is filed under the name Gopherus agassizii (Agassiz's desert tortoise). Its description in RNAcentral is "TUC338 (ENSGAGG00000023015.1)". Lineage: Eukaryota; Metazoa; Chordata; Testudines; Testudinidae. The record is from RNAcentral.